RNAcentral lists this ribosomal RNA (821 nucleotides) under uncultured bacterium. RNAcentral's name for it is "bacterial SSU rRNA". It matches the Rfam family "Bacterial small subunit ribosomal RNA", at positions 8 to 810 of the family's 1533-position model. The record is from RNAcentral.
AGAGUUUGAUCCUGGCUCAGGACGAACGCUGGCGGCGUGCCUAAUACAUGCAAGUCGAACGAGAGCGACCGGUGCUUGCACUGGUCAAUCUAGUGGCGAACGGGUGAGUAACACGUGGGUAACCUGCCCAUCAGAGGGGGAUAACAUUCGGAAACGGAUGCUAAAACCGCAUAGGUCUUCGAACCGCAUGGUUUGAAGAGGAAAAGAGGCGCAAGCUUCUGCUGAUGGAUGGACCCGCGGUGCAUUAGCUAGUUGGUGAGGUAACGGCUCACCAAGGCCGUGAUGCAUAGCCGACCUGAGAGGGUGAUCGGCCACAUUGGGACUGAGACACGGCCCAAACUCCUACGGGAGGCAGCAGUAGGGAAUCUUCCGCAAUGGACGCAAGUCUGACGGAGCAACGCCGCGUGAGUGAAGAAGGUUUUCGGAUCGUAAAACUCUGUUGUUAGAGAAGAACAAGUGCUAGAGUAACUGUUAGCGCCUUGACGGUAUCUAACCAGAAAGCCACGGCUAACUACGUGCCAGCAGCCGCGGUAAUACGUAGGUGGCAAGCGUUGUCCGGAUUUAUUGGGCGUAAAGCGAGCGCAGGCGGUUCCUUAAGUCUGAUGUGAAAGCCCCCGGCUCAACCGGGGAGGGUCAUUGGAAACUGGGGAACUUGAGUGCAGAAGAGGAGAGUGGAAUUCCAUGUGUAGCGGUGAAAUGCGUAGAUAUAUGGAGGAACACCAGUGGCGAAGGCGACUCUCUGGUCUGUAACUGACGCUGAGGCUCGAAAGCGUGGGUAGCAAACAGGAUUAGAUACCCUGGCAGUCCACGCCGUAAACGAU